CAUAACUUUGAUUAUUAGUGACAUUUCUGUGUUGUGCACUCCUAAACUUUUUUUUUCAGAGAUAUUUUCUUUCACUCACGAUGCGGAGCAGGUGGGAAAUUGGUUUUAUCAAGAAAAACACCUAAAAUUUGAAUUAUGCAGUGCAGAAGCAGAGGUCCCUUUUAACAGGGAAACGUAAGAACGAGAUAUUCUUUCCCCUGGGAGAUUAUGUGCUUGAAGAGUCACCAAUACAUUAAGUGGGAUGAGAAGAGCUUUGUUAGGACACAUACCAGAGACAAGGGAGGAGUCCAACCUCAAUGCAGAGAGAGAUCAGUACGCACUUGGAAUUAUGACUUUGUUUCUGUUGUUAAAAGACUAAUUUUCCAGUCACUGUAGCCAUCCAGACUGAAUCCAGAUCAGAUGGUCACUGCAGUUCCCUGGAUCCAGUCCGUAUCCAGUCCAGAUGGUGGAUCAGCACCUAGAGAGGACCUCUACAGCCCUGAAUGUCAAGCGGAGACCAUGACAACUAGAUGAGCCCCAGAGACAGAUCCCCUGUGAACACCUUGUCAACUACACACCCAUCGGCAAAAGAUCUCUGCUCAAUCUGACUUUGUUGCAGCCUCGACACACUAUUUCCAUUUAAUACUGUAAAGCUGCAUUGAUACAAUCUGCAUUGUAAAAAACGCUAUAAAAAUAGAUGUGAAAUUAUCCUGUUUUUUAUGUUUUUGUUAUUUAGUUUUCCAGUUUUACUUUUGAAAUACUCCAAGUGUGAGUGGAUAUCUUGCUUGGCUGAAAACAAAGCAGAGACUGUUGUUAAAGCUGAUAAAUGUAAACAUUAUAAACCUUAAAACAUUAA
Molecule: long non-coding RNA, 835 nt
Organism: Labeo rohita (rohu)
Lineage: Eukaryota; Metazoa; Chordata; Actinopteri; Cypriniformes; Cyprinidae
Exons: 5
Source: RefSeq, a predicted model, not a curated record